This 526-nucleotide ribosomal RNA is filed under the name uncultured bacterium. RNAcentral describes it as "bacterial SSU rRNA". It matches the Rfam family "Bacterial small subunit ribosomal RNA", at positions 355 to 896 of the family's 1533-position model. The record is from RNAcentral.
UAGGGAAUAUUGCAUAAUGGGCGAAAGCCUGAUGCAGCAACGCCGCGUGUGCGAUGAAGGCCUUCGGGUCGUAAAGCACUUUUAGAGAGGAUGAGGAAGGACAGUACUCUCUGAAUAAGCCUCGGCUAACUACGUGCCAGCAGCCGCGGUAAAACGUAGGAGGCGAGCGUUAUCCGGAUUUACUGGGCGUAAAGCGCGUGCAGGCGGUAAGGAAAGUUGGAUGUGAAAGCUCCUGGCUUAACUGGGAGAGGUCGUUCAAAACUACCUAACUAGAGUGUGGGAGAGGGAGGUGGAAUUCCGGGUGUAGUGGUGAAAUGCGUAGAUAUCCGGAGGAACACCAGUGGCGAAAGCGGCCUCCUGGCCCAAGACUGACGCUCAGACGCGAAAGCUAGGGUAGCAAACGGGAUUAGAGACCCCGGUAGUCCUAGCUGUAAACGAUGUGGACUUGGCGUCGGCGGGUUUAAAUCCGUCGGUGUCGAAGCAAACGCGAUAAGUCCACCGCCUGGGGACUACGGCCGCAAGGUUA